GGCUAAUCUAAAGGCAGUGGGUUAUCUCAAUUGAUUGUUCAAUUACAUAUUGAACUCCUUGUUGUACUCUUUCUCCCUCUUGUCACUGCUGCACUUGACUACACUUAA
Y RNA from Callithrix jacchus (white-tufted-ear marmoset), 108 nucleotides. It matches the Rfam family "Y RNA". Rfam says of the family: Y RNAs are components of the Ro ribonucleoprotein particle (Ro RNP), in association with Ro60 and La proteins. The Y RNAs and Ro60 and La proteins are well conserved, but the function of the Ro RNP is not known. In humans the RNA component can be one of four small RNAs -- hY1, hY3, hY4 and hY5. The record is from Ensembl. NCBI's taxonomy places the organism in Eukaryota, Metazoa, Chordata, Mammalia, Primates, Cebidae.